GAUGAACGCUGGCGGCGUGCCUAAUACAUGCAAGUCGAGCGAACGGACGAGAAGCUUGCUUCUCUGAUGUUAGCGGCGGACGGGUGAGUAACACGUGGAUAACCUACCUAUAAGACUGGGAUAACUUCGGGAAACCGUAGCUAAUACCGGAUAAUAUUUUGAACCGCAUGGUUCAAAAGUGAAAGACGGUCUUGCUGUCACUUAUAGAUGGAUCCGCGCUGCAUUAGCUAGUUGGUAAGGUAACGGCUUACCAAGGCAACGAUGCAUAGCCGACCUGAGAGGGUGAUCGGCCACCCUGGAACUGAGACACGGUCCAGACUCCUACGGGAGGCAGCAGUAGGGAAUCUUCCGCAAUGGGCGAAAGCCUGACGGAGCAACGCCGCGUGAGCGAUGAAGGUCUUCGGAUCGUAAAACUCUGUUAUUAGGGAAGAACAUAUGUGUAAGUAACUGUGCACAUCUUGACGGUACCUAAUCAGAAAGCCACGGCUAACUACGUG
This 497-nucleotide ribosomal RNA is filed under the name uncultured bacterium. Its description in RNAcentral is "partial 16S ribosomal RNA". It matches the Rfam family "Bacterial small subunit ribosomal RNA", at positions 28 to 507 of the family's 1533-position model. The record is from RNAcentral.